This is a long non-coding RNA of Dermacentor silvarum, 1725 nucleotides long. RefSeq lists it as uncharacterized. NCBI's taxonomy places the organism in Eukaryota, Metazoa, Arthropoda, Arachnida, Ixodida, Ixodidae. The record is from RefSeq and is a predicted model, not a curated record. The transcript is spliced from 3 exons.
GAAGCAACUUGGAAGAUUUGAACGAGUUCAGCGACGGAGCGCGCUGCAACCAGUCAUUGCUCCAACGUGCGAAGCUACCGUCUCCUUGAGUUCAGAGCACGACACAGCGGCAUUGGAAGAACGCAACGAAUGUGCGUCAGACUUGGAAGCCUCCGUCUCCUUCAGUCCUGACUCGGCACAGGGCACACCCACGUCGGAAGAAUGCAACAUGUUUGCGUCCGUGAUGACUCAGACAGAGAACGAUUCAUUCAAGGGGCCUUGCAGCUUGUUCCUUUCUGUGGCAUCGCAGUGCAAUGCAUCGACACAAGUGUCUCAUAUCGAAACUAGAGACAGCAGCCUGCAAGCAGAACCUUCAGUUAGAUCAACCGCCACAGGGCCAGAAGAGCGAAGCUACAUUUUCCUUGGCUACAGCUCUCUCUGCGAAAGGAAAGACGCCUUCACAGAACUUUGUGGAGUCAGCCCAAAUGUGUUUGCCAUGUCUCUAUUUUCAUCGGUAGUUGUAACAUGUGUUGAUGUUCCAAUUUCGCAAAAGAUGGUGAUCUUAAUGACUUGGGUUUUCGUUUGCAAGUAUCGCUGUUCUUUUUGGGCUGCAUCGUAGAGCUGUUAGCUGCAUCUUUUUCGUUUUGAGGAAUCUUCUAUCAGCAAUGCAACACUUCAUUCCCGAGCCAUCGCUAGCAGCCGUCAAGGCAACUAUGCUAGCACGCUUUAAGGAGCACUACCCUGAUUGUCGUUUUAUCAUUGAUUGCACCGAAGUGAGAACGGAGGAGCCACCUACUGUAGAACAGCGUCGCGCUCUUUUUUUUUACACUACAAGGGAUGCUACACACUGAAGUUCUUAAUUGGAAUUUUGCCCAAUGGUGCAGUGACAUUUGUGUCGGAGGCUUAUGGAGGUCGAGCUUCGGACACACACAUAACUCUAGAGUCAGGCUUUCUCAAUAGAAUUGAGCCAGGGAAUGAUGUAUUAGCUGACAGAGGUUUUCCUGGCAUAAAAUCACCAGUGGAAAGGAACAAGGGCAUUGUUGUCUUGCCUCCUUUCUCGAAAGGAAACAUGCAAUUUACAUAUGAUGAGCUCCAACAAAAAUACCACAUUACACAGGUGUGCAUCCAUGUUGAAAGAGCUAUCCAGGGUAUAAAAAUGUUUGAUGUUAUUAAUUUCCGUGUACUUAAUGACCUCAUUCCUUAUAUGUGCGACAUCAUGCCCAUGUGUUGCAUCCUUGUGAAUCUGCAACUGCCAAUUCUUAACUCACAAAAGCGUGAACAAUCAUAGACGUGCAGUAGGGUAUUGUGCUGCCCAUUCUGAAUUAAGAAAUGAACCUUUUCACACCUUCAGCUUUUAUGAGGUGUUUAUGUACAUGCUACGAUAAAUGAAGAAUUUCAUGAAAGUUUACUGCUUCAUAUUGAAACUCUGUGGCGUGCAAAGGUUCACCUUCAUCUGUUGUAUUAUGUGCAUUUGCAGGUAAUUCAGGAGAGCAUUAGUUGUUUUACCAAUAUUUAUUGCGCAUACAACCAUCACAUAAGAUCUCAGGUGUGUAUUGCAAAUGGUACUUAAUUGUGAGAGCUAGGCUCAUCAUUGUUUUUAUGUACAGAUUUUUAUGGGAACUUUGUUGAAUUUGAGCAUUUUUACUUUGGCAUUAACAAUGGAACAUGCUGUAGCCUUUGGCAGAAAUGCACAUGUGUACUUAAAUUGCAUGCACAUUAGAAAACCCAGGCAGUCAAAAACUUGGA